GCUGUGGAACUCCUACGGGAGGCAGCAGCGAGGAAUAUUGGUCAAUGGUCGCAAGACUGAACCAGCCAUGCCGCGUGCAGGAAGACGGUCCUAUGGAUUGUAAACUGCUUUUAUACAGGAAGAAACCCUCCCACGUGUGGGAGCUUGACGGUACUGUAGGAAUAAGGAUCGGCUAACUCCGUGCCAGCAGCCGCGGUAAUACGGAGGAUCCAAGCGUUAUCCGGAAUCAUUGGGUUUAAAGGGUCCGUAGGCGGUCUUAUAAGUCAGUGGUGGAAGCCCAUCGCUCAACGAUGGAACUGCCAUUGAUACUGUAAGACUUGAAUGCUUAGGAAGUAACUAGAAUAUGUAUUGUAGCGGUGAAAUGCUUAGAUAUUACAUGGAAUACCAAUUGCGAAGGCAGGUUACUACUAAGUGAUUGACGCUGAUGGACGAAAGCGUGGGGAGCGAACAGGAUUAGAUACCCGAGUAGUCCUACCACGU
Molecule: ribosomal RNA, 480 nt
Filed under: uncultured bacterium
Lineage: Bacteria
Description: bacterial SSU rRNA
Rfam family: Bacterial small subunit ribosomal RNA
Source: RNAcentral